ACCCAACUGAAGACUCCCGAAUAGGACGAAACGCGCGUCCUGGAU
This 45-nucleotide non-coding RNA is filed under the name Schistosoma mansoni. The record is from RNAcentral. Lineage: Eukaryota; Metazoa; Platyhelminthes; Trematoda; Strigeidida; Schistosomatidae.